CUCGUGUCGUGAGAUGUUGGGUUAAGUCCCGCAACGAGCGCAACCCCUAUUGUUAGUUGCCAUCAUUGAGUUGGGCACUCUAGCGAGACUGCCGGUAAUAAACCGGAGGAAGGUGGGGAUGACGUCAAAUCAUCAUGCCCCUUAUGACCUGGGCUACACACGUGCUACAAUGGCUGGUACAACGAGUCGCAAGCCGGUGACGGCAAGCUAAUCUCUGAAAGCCAGUCUCAGUUCGGAUUGUAGGCUGCAACUCGCCUACAUGAAGUCGGAAUCGCUAGUAAUCGCGGAUCAGCACGCCGCGGUGAAUACGUUCCCGGGCCUUGUACACACCGCCCGUCACACCACGAG
RNAcentral lists this ribosomal RNA (348 nucleotides) under Streptococcus sanguinis. Its description in RNAcentral is "bacterial SSU rRNA". It matches the Rfam family "Bacterial small subunit ribosomal RNA", at positions 1059 to 1408 of the family's 1533-position model. The record is from RNAcentral. Lineage: Bacteria; Bacillati; Bacillota; Bacilli; Lactobacillales; Streptococcaceae.